AUGGAAGAGCACAAGACGACCGGCCUCGCUGCGACGGCGAGCCCCCUCGGCGAGCCUCUUCUCACGGCCACCGGGAAGCGGGUUGUUGACCGCGACGCCGAGGCGCAGCUCCCCCCGUAUCCCAGCGCCGGCGCCUCCUUCUCCAGGACGUGCCUCAACCUCACCAACGCCGUGUCGGGCAUCGGGGUGCUCUCCAUGCCCUACGCCGUGUCGCGGGGCGGGUGGCUCAGCCUGGCGCUCUUCGCCCUCGUCGGCACCGUCUGCUACUACACCGGCACGCUCAUAGCGCGCUGCAUGCUCGCCGACGGCUCCGUCGCCACCUACCCGGACGUCGGCCAGCUGGCCUUCGGCGCCGCCGGCCGGAGAACCGUCGCCCUGUUCAUGUACGUGGAGCUCUACCUCGUAGCCAUCAGCUUCCUGGUCCUCGAGGGCGACAACCUAGAUAAGCUCUUCCCGCCGGCUACCGGCUGCGCGGUAAGCAGUUGUACAUCGUCCUGGCCGGCGCCGUCGUGCUGCCCACCACCUGGCUCAAGAACCUCGGCGUGCUCGCCUACGUGUCGGCCCUCGGGCUCGUCGCGUCGGCGGCCCUGA
This 591-nucleotide ribosomal RNA is filed under the name Triticum aestivum (bread wheat). RNAcentral describes it as "partial small subunit ribosomal RNA". The record is from RNAcentral. Lineage: Eukaryota; Viridiplantae; Streptophyta; Magnoliopsida; Poales; Poaceae.